CACAGUCGUGCCGGUUGGUCGUGUCAUCUCGCUCCUUCUAGUUGUCGCUUUUCAUCAGUUUUUACUGAAAACAUGUGCAUUGUUGCUCUGUUUUGUGUGUGUGAGAUUUGUUAGGACUCAUGAGGCAAGGAGCCAGGAACAAAACCAGAGUUUUGGAUUGGGGAUGCCUUUGAAAGAUGGAGACGAUUGAAGGCGAAGAAGAUUUUUUUCAUCUGACGCCAAACUCGCUAAUUUCCUCCUUCAUAGGGGGUCCGGUCCGAUCCGGUGGCCAUGUACUGCUUGCCUGUGUAUCGGCUGAGGACAUCUCUGCGCUGCUGAUCCACCUCCGCUUGGGAUGGUUUCCUGCUGGCUCCGCUGUGAACGGGACUCUCGCUGCUGUGUUGGAUCCGCUUUGAACUGGACUCUCGCGACUGUGUUGGAUCCAUUAUGGAUUGAACUUUCACAGUAUCAUGUUAGACCCGCUCGACAUCCAUUGCUUUCCUCCUCUCCAAGGUUCUCAUAGUCAUCAUUGUCACCGACGUCCCACUGGGUGUGAGUUUUCCUUGCCGUUAUGUGGGUCUACCGAGGAUGUCGUAGUGGUUCAUGUUGUGGUUUGUGCAGCCCUUUGAGACACUAGUGAUUUAGGGCUAUAUAAGUAAACAUUGACUGAUUGAUUGAUUAACAUAUAGGCUAAGGGGAGAAAUAUAUGUUUGUUAGCUUGUAUGUCGAUGUGUCAUCCAACUGUCUGGGAAAAAUAUAUUUUUGCAAAUAAAACCUAUGUGGAUAUGGGUAGUGUCAGUGCCUAUUUCGUUCUCAAUAUGCCGAUAUGCUGAGGAAAUGUGUUGCAACAUUACCACGGCUAAUUGCAGUUUCUGGUACUGGGUGUGCAUCAAACACAUAUGGGGUGGUAUUUGUUUGUCACAAUAUAAUGCAUUGCAUGUAAUAAUUUUCUACUUUGUGUAUUGACAUGGUAGUAGGCUAUAUAAUUUAUACGGAAUAUGUUUUUGCGUAGUGUGUGGCUCAUAGAAUUGCACUCUGCACUGAAAGAUGGUGAUGUGUGUACAUGGAAGAGAAUGCAGUGUGUCAGGUUGGAUGCAACAUGGAGUUAUGCUGAAUGAAAUGUGGCGGUAAUUUUACUGUUGGCCUUGGCUUGGCAAGGUAAGCUUCAGUGUGUGAA
Molecule: long non-coding RNA, 1156 nt
Organism: Nerophis ophidion (straightnose pipefish)
Lineage: Eukaryota; Metazoa; Chordata; Actinopteri; Syngnathiformes; Syngnathidae
Exons: 3
Source: RefSeq, a predicted model, not a curated record